Molecule: ribosomal RNA, 218 nt
Filed under: Acinetobacter baumannii
Lineage: Bacteria; Pseudomonadati; Pseudomonadota; Gammaproteobacteria; Moraxellales; Moraxellaceae
Description: partial 23S ribosomal RNA
Rfam family: Bacterial large subunit ribosomal RNA
Source: RNAcentral
CGAAGAUUUCCGGGGCUAAAACCUACUACCGAAGCCACGGCAUCAUUUAUGAUGGGUAGGGGAGCUUUCUUUACUGGGCAGAAGCAUGACCGUAAGGACAUGUGGACUGUAAAGAAGUGAGAAUGUUGGCAUGAGUAGCGAGAUGUGGGUGAGAAUCCCACAGGCCGUAAACCCAAGGUUUCCAGGGGAAGGUUCGUCCUCCCUGGGUUAGUCGGGAC